RNAcentral lists this long non-coding RNA (406 nucleotides) under Bos taurus (domestic cattle). RNAcentral describes it as "long non-coding RNA NONBTAT024651". The record is from RNAcentral. Lineage: Eukaryota; Metazoa; Chordata; Mammalia; Artiodactyla; Bovidae.
CUGGUAGAGUAUGAAUUAUAGUACAGUGUUAAUUUUUCAAAUGAUAUCUAUUUGGAAAGAUAUACAUUAAUAGUAGUAUGAUAAUUAACAUUUAUCAACAACUUAAGUACUUAAAAACAAACAUGUAUAUACAUUUCUAUAUAUGUGUGUGUGUAUAUCUCAUAAUCACAGAAAAUUUUUAGGAGGAUAACAUAAACAAUGAGAAGUAUUUAGACCAUCAUGCAUCAUGCCACGGAUCUUUUUCCAACCUUAAUGAGAAUACUAAGUGCUACAAAAUAAUAAGCUAUUAUGUAAGAAUCAAAACACCCCAAGGAGAGAAUGAAAAUAAAUCCAGUAUGAGGAUAACAUGCCUUCUUUACCCAACACCGAAAAAGGAAACCAAAUGGAUACUAAAACUCCUGUCUGU